This 72-nucleotide transfer RNA is filed under the name Camelus bactrianus (Bactrian camel). It matches the Rfam family "tRNA". Rfam says of the family: Transfer RNA (tRNA) molecules are approximately 80 nucleotides in length. Their secondary structure includes four short double-helical elements and three loops (D, anti-codon, and T loops). Lineage: Eukaryota; Metazoa; Chordata; Mammalia; Artiodactyla; Camelidae. RNAcentral also lists the same sequence under 1 other name. The record is from Rfam by way of RNAcentral.
GAGGUUAUAGUUCAGUGGUAGAGUGAGUGCUUAGCAUGCAUGAGGUCCUGGGUUCAAUCCCCAGUACCUCCA